This 253-nucleotide ribosomal RNA is filed under the name uncultured bacterium. Its description in RNAcentral is "partial 16S ribosomal RNA". It matches the Rfam family "Bacterial small subunit ribosomal RNA", at positions 524 to 776 of the family's 1533-position model. The record is from RNAcentral.
UACGAAGGGGGCUAGCGUUGUUCGGAAUCACUGGCCGUAAAGCGCACGUAGGCGGAUUUGUAAGUCAGGGGUGAAAUCCCGGGGCCCAACCCCGGAACUGCCUUUGAUACUGCGAAUCUCGAGUCCGAUAGAGGUGGGUGGAAUUCCUAGUGUAGAGGUGAAAUUCGUAGAUAUUAGGAAGAACACCGGUGGCGAAGGCGGCCCACUGGAUCGGUACUGACGCUGAGGUGGGAAAGCGUGGGGAGCAAACAGG